AGGGUGUAAACGCUGCAGACUUGGUGUUGGAAAUCCUUCGAGGGUAUUCAGUGCCGGAGAGAAGUUGUUAAGUCUGCUACUUGGGGAGUACGUCCGCAAGGAUGAAACUUAAAGGAAUUGGCGGGGGAGCACAACAACGGGUGGAGCCUGCGGUUUAAUUGGACUCAACGCCGGAAAACUCAUCGGGAGCGACAGCAGUAUGAUUGCCAGGUUGAUGACCUUGCUUGACAAGCUGAGAGGUGGUGCAUGGCGUAGUCGUGU
This 261-nucleotide ribosomal RNA is filed under the name uncultured archaeon. RNAcentral's name for it is "partial 16S ribosomal RNA". It matches the Rfam family "Archaeal small subunit ribosomal RNA", at positions 748 to 1009 of the family's 1478-position model. The record is from RNAcentral.